This 1344-nucleotide long non-coding RNA is filed under the name Macaca mulatta (Rhesus monkey). RNAcentral's name for it is "lncRNA (ENSMMUG00000063010.1)". Lineage: Eukaryota; Metazoa; Chordata; Mammalia; Primates; Cercopithecidae. The record is from RNAcentral.
ACCACUGCCAAAGCUCAUCACUGAAACCUUUUAUCAAAAGUACAAACUAUACAAGUUAGAGGAUUUUUUUUUUUUUUUACCCUUUUGUUUCUGAGGGUUAAGGGGGUGGGGUGGGGGUGGUAGUGUGGAGAGGAAAGGAGAAGAGAGGCUGGGGAAGAAAACACAGCUCUGUCAAUGGACUGAAUGCACCAUUAAAACUGGCGUCACUACAAAGGGUGUGCUCUCCUUUGCCUCCCCCCCACAACCUGUCUGCUGCCCUAAAAAAAAAAAAAAUUUUAAAAAAAAAAAAAGACGGCAACCUAACCGGAGCAUCUCUGGGACGCCACAGAAAUCAUUACUGAACACCCGCACACAAAAGUAAUCUGUGAGGUGUGUUUUAAAGAAAGAAACAGCUGAAAACUUGAAGACGUGUUUAGAAAUAUACAUAUAUACACACUAUUUUCUUGUGGGAGAUCUCCUUUGGGCAAAGGUAAGUAGUAUAUAUCUAAUCACCCCCUCAGCACCCUCCUCCACCCCAUUUUGUCAUUCCCCUCCCCUUUUCCCCUCAUCAAGGUAUCACAAUAUAAGACCCUGAAGAAGACAGUCUGCCUUUUUUUUUUUCCUUUAAUAAGUGUUGGGGUGGGGGCUGGAUGAAGUAAAUUCUCUCAUCAAACAUCUGAUGAUGAGUUGCAGAAAGAGGGCACAGGCAAAAGGUAAUCGGACCAACAAGAUCUGGCUCUUUAUGGCAAUCCUUUCGCAAAGAUUUCCAAAGGAUCUGUAAUUAAACUGGGUAGUUUACUCUCAGGAAAUGAAGAAACUGCUUGCCUGGCUGGAUCCAACCUUUAGCUUGGCUGAGUAAAUAAAAGCACAAAUUCUUCUUUCACUUUUUCCCUCGCGGGAGGGGUGAGACUUUGGGGUUGGGGGGAGCCAGGAAAACAGGGGGUUUGCUGAGGGUUAAUGGUGUUUUUCGCAAAGUGUCAGCAGAAGAUGAUUAAAUUCCACCUCUUGUUCACCAGAUCACUUUGUGUGCACUUGUAUAUUUCAUUGUCGGCAACCGCUGAUGAUCACAUCUGUGCAGUACAUUAAGUGGCAAGCCUCUUCAUCUGCACGGGGUUUUUCUGAUGAUUUUUUCUGUGAAUAAUUCAUAUGAUUAUGAAGAGAAAAACUGCUAUUUUCUAUCUCUCUCUCUUCUGUAGCACAGAUUAAAAAAAAUCUUGCUGUAAAUUGCGUGAUUGGGGAGAUAGCCUGCUUUCAAAUAAUUUAAUUCAUGACAAAACCUAAUUACUGUCAGGUAAUACCCUGUCAGCUUUAAUGCAUUUCAUCAGUCAUAAUGAAAAGAAGAGCAUUUUAUGACCCAUCUAAUUA